Long non-coding RNA from Cyprinus carpio (common carp), 379 nucleotides. The record is from Ensembl. Lineage: Eukaryota; Metazoa; Chordata; Actinopteri; Cypriniformes; Cyprinidae.
AAACAAGUCUAAAAGACUCAGCAGUUUAUUAGCUUAAUGCCACAUCUUUUAUCAUUGUAAAUGGGACUGAUAACCCUUCUCGUCUGCCUUUUCUGUUGCUUAAAUUAGAUCUAUCAACAUCUACUCCAGCCAAUGAGGACAAAACAACCUUGCCAACAAAAUGUGAAACUGGAGGUACAGCCACUUUAGGAAAGCAUACCAUCCAUACAGAGACACUACUGAGAUUGACCAUCUCCUCACAACGGUAAGUCUGCCUCUCUUCUGUUAAUACAGCGUGAUAGUGAUCAGAUGGACUCUGUGGAACAUCUACACUUUACCCUUUGUUUAAUAGAAUUCAUCUUUCAAAAGGAAAAUUAAAUAAAGAGCUAGAAAAUGUCCA